RNAcentral lists this unclassified non-coding RNA (330 nucleotides) under soil metagenome. RNAcentral describes it as "partial contains 5.8S ribosomal RNA, internal transcribed spacer 2, and large subunit ribosomal RNA". The stretch from base 4 to 119 matches the Rfam family "5.8S ribosomal RNA", at positions 39 to 154 of the family's 154-position model. The record is from RNAcentral.
GAUAAGAACGUAGCGAAAUGCGAUAAGUAAUGUGAAUUGCAGAAUUCAGUGAAUCAUCGAAUCUUUGAACGCACAUUGCGCCCCCUGGUAUUCCGGGGGGCAUGCCUGUUCGAGCGUCAUUUCACCACUCAAGCCUCGCUUGGUAUUGGGCAACGCGGUCCGCCGCGUGCCUCAAAUCGUCCGGCUGGGUCUUCUGUCCCCUAAGCGUUGUGGAAACUAUUCGCUAAAGGGUGUUCGGGAGGCUACGCCGUAAAACAACCCCAUUUCUAAGGUUGACCUCGGAUCAGGUAGGGAUACCCGCUGAACUUAAGCAUAUCAAUAAGCGGAGGA